UUUUGGUUCCAUUGUUUCUACAUCUAGGGAUUUUGCCUAGGGUGCAUCUUUCGUUUCCCCUGAUCACUAGUUGUUCUAGAAAGAUCAGUUAUUUCGACUUCCAAGUUGCAACUAUUGACACAUUGCAAAUGCAGGUUUCUAUCACCACUGCUAACUUUUAUGAUGAUAUUCUCCUCUUCCAUGUCUGUCAUACAGCAAUACUUACUAGGACACUUUCCAGUACCAUAGGUGGUGUAAAGCAUAGCAGACGCGAUUAAGAGGAUCAAGGAGGGGCAGUGUAUGGGGUUUGAUAAAAUCUGUGCAUAUAAGCCUUAUGUUUUGUGUAAGUAGUGUUUUUCUGGAGUGAUUUUGAUUUUAUUUCCAAAAAGAAGUUGGUAUGUGAUGGAUUUGGUUCCUGUAAUUUGUAAUGCAUGGCAAUAAGUUACAAAUUCGUGUUCGUUUUUCGCCAUGGUGUGGUCUGAGGAGAGGUAGAAAUAGACAAAAACACCUCAUGCAGCUUAAUAAGGACACAACUGUAGCUGUCAAUCAACUCGGAAUGAUAAACAACGCGAAAGAUAGACACCACCGCCAGACCAUUUCAUCUCAGAAUUUAAGACAUGCACAAAAUUUGUCAAACAUAGAACAGGGAGGUUGGAAUUCACAUCGAUUAUAGUGAGUUCAUCAACACAUCACACAAAAAUUAACGCCAAUAUAGAAUUAUUGAUAGUCAAAGGCACCACAAUACAGGUCAGUAUAUAUUGGAAAGGAGCAAGUGCCCCGGUCCUAAUUCAUUCAGUCAACAGAGAAACAUCCCAAAAGUUAACAAAAA
Molecule: long non-coding RNA, 808 nt
Organism: Solanum lycopersicum (tomato)
Lineage: Eukaryota; Viridiplantae; Streptophyta; Magnoliopsida; Solanales; Solanaceae
Source: RefSeq, a predicted model, not a curated record